AAAUGUUCAUUGCUUUCACUUGGAGUGGGAGUGCAGUGACCACCUGCACUGGUCAGCUCUCUGCAGUGCUCCAUUGCCUUUGUUGACCAGAUGUCAUGGUUUAACCCCAGCCAGCAACCAGGCACCAUGCAGCCGCUCGCUCACUCUGAACUUCAGCUCAAGUGCAGAGUGAAGUUCCAGGCUGUCCAGUACAGCAGAACAGAAACAGCAACAACACACUAGCCACCUGCCAGCCCAGCAGACAGCCCAGGGCCCAUUGAACUGUCCUGCAUGGCAGCAGACUGCAUACCAGGAUCUUCCCUUGAAUAGGAAAUGCCUCCCAAGGUUACUCCUUGUGGCUGAGAGAUUCCUUGCUGCAACAGAUUCUUGGCGUUAACAUUUUAGCAUGCAUAUUUGAAUGAGAAACUGGACAGAAUACUAUAUAAACUUCUUCCACAGACUCAGCCAAUUACUCCACUCUACUGGGAAGUUAUAAG
Long non-coding RNA from Neopelma chrysocephalum (saffron-crested tyrant-manakin), 476 nucleotides. RefSeq lists it as uncharacterized. The transcript is spliced from 3 exons. Lineage: Eukaryota; Metazoa; Chordata; Aves; Passeriformes; Pipridae. The record is from RefSeq and is a predicted model, not a curated record.